Salvelinus fontinalis (brook trout) is the source of this 317-nucleotide long non-coding RNA. RefSeq lists it as uncharacterized. The transcript is spliced from 3 exons. Lineage: Eukaryota; Metazoa; Chordata; Actinopteri; Salmoniformes; Salmonidae. The record is from RefSeq and is a predicted model, not a curated record.
UCUGUACUGUUUUAGCAGUGAAAAAGAAUACCCACAGACAAGGCACGGGUGGUGGGUCACCAAAGGCUGACCUUACCCCAGCAGAGGACAUGGCCUUGGAGCUAAAUAAAGGCAGGCCCGUCUUAGAGGGGAUCCCUGGGGGGAAAGAGACGAGCAUAGGUUCCUCCCAAGAUGCCACCCGCUUCAUUCAAGUGUCUGGCAGCACUGUGUUCCUGUUAGAGCCACCAGCACAAGCACCAGACGAUGCUGAUCCAGGUGAAGGCCCCAGUGCAACAGCACAUGAUGGAGACGAUGAUGAGGAGGAGACCAUCUCUCUG